RNAcentral lists this non-coding RNA (46 nucleotides) under Schistosoma mansoni. The record is from RNAcentral. Lineage: Eukaryota; Metazoa; Platyhelminthes; Trematoda; Strigeidida; Schistosomatidae.
GCACUACUGAGGAGUCCCACAAUAGGACGAAACGGCCAUACAGUAC